RNAcentral lists this ribosomal RNA (123 nucleotides) under uncultured bacterium. RNAcentral describes it as "partial 16S ribosomal RNA". It matches the Rfam family "Bacterial small subunit ribosomal RNA", at positions 373 to 493 of the family's 1533-position model. The record is from RNAcentral.
GGGUGAGAGCCUGAUCCAGCCAUCCCGCGUGAAGGAUGACGGUCCUAUGGAUUGUAAACUUCUUUUGUACAGGGAUAAACCUUUCUACGUGUAGAAAGCUGAAGGUACUGUACGAAUAAGCAC